CCUACGGGAGGCAGCAGUGGGGAAUAUUGCGCAAUGGGCGAAAGCCUGACGCAGCGACGCCGCGUGAGGGAUGAAGGUCUUCGGAUCGUAAACCUCUGUCAGCAGGGAAGAACGGUCACGGGGCUAAUCAGCAGUGAAUGGACGGUACCGGCAAAGGAAGCACCGGCUAACUCCGGGCCAGCAGCCGCGGUAAUACGGAGGGUGCGAGCGUUAAUCGGAAUUACUGGGCGUAAAGCGCUCGUAGGCGGUAUGUCAAGUCAAGGGUGAAAUCCCCGCGCGCAACGUGGGAACUGCCUUUGAAACUUGCACACUGGUGUGUGUUAGCGGUUAGUUGAAUUCCCGGUGUAGUCGU
Molecule: ribosomal RNA, 352 nt
Filed under: uncultured bacterium
Lineage: Bacteria
Description: partial 16S ribosomal RNA
Rfam family: Bacterial small subunit ribosomal RNA
Source: RNAcentral